CCCCAUAAAAUACACGGAGGGGACGAUGUUAAAUUUUCUUUUAUUAUUGUGUUACUGUUUAAUACUUUGUCCGAUCCAGUUAAAACACGUAACAAACCCGGCCCCUAGAUGAUCAGAGCCAGUGCUCCCGAGUGUCCAGCCAUACGACGGUGGUGCACGACUCUGAACUACCACCGUGUCCCUCGGUGUCCUGCCGAGCCGUCGAACACAGGUCCGGGAUAAGGCGUUCCUUGGACGUCGCCACGGAAGUCUGGAAGUUGUCCCACUCCAGAGACGAGACGCGGCUCUGGUCACUUGCCUCCGGACCGUGAACGGUUGCCAGCGUGACUCGCCGGUUCCGACCCGCCGACUUGGCACGAUCCUGCACGGUAUUUGUUACAGUUUUCCAUAAGUGCAAGCUGCGGAUGCUUCCCCUAAUCGCGAUGAUAAACGAUUUCUUGGAGAAGGCAGAAGAAAUCAUGAAAAUAGAUUGCGUUGUGAAGGAAUUCUCCAAAGGGUUUCCACGGUUCGAGAUCGAGUGCAUCAUGAACGACGACUUCAAGGAGG
Ixodes scapularis (black-legged tick) is the source of this 546-nucleotide long non-coding RNA. RefSeq lists it as uncharacterized. The transcript has 3 exons. The record is from RefSeq and is a predicted model, not a curated record. NCBI's taxonomy places the organism in Eukaryota, Metazoa, Arthropoda, Arachnida, Ixodida, Ixodidae.